RNAcentral lists this transfer RNA (99 nucleotides) under Candidatus Bathyarchaeota archaeon. Its description in RNAcentral is "tRNA-Val". It matches the Rfam family "tRNA". From Rfam's summary of the family: Transfer RNA (tRNA) molecules are approximately 80 nucleotides in length. RNAcentral also lists the same sequence under 1 other name. Lineage: Archaea; Thermoproteati; Candidatus Bathyarchaeota. The record is from RNAcentral.
GGGCCGGUGGUCUAGCUUGGUUAGGACAUCCGCACAAGCGAACCUUAAGCAGCCCUUACGAGGCUGAGGUCGCCGGUUCAAGUCCGGCCCGGCCCACCA